This 467-nucleotide ribosomal RNA is filed under the name uncultured bacterium. RNAcentral describes it as "partial 16S ribosomal RNA". It matches the Rfam family "Bacterial small subunit ribosomal RNA", at positions 28 to 506 of the family's 1533-position model. The record is from RNAcentral.
GACGAACGCUGGCGGCGUGCUUAACACAUGCAAGUCGAACGGAAAGGCCCUGCUUUUGUGGGGUGCUCGAGUGGCGAACGGGUGAGUAACACGUGAGUAACCUGCCCUUGACUUUGGGAUAACUUCAGGAAACUGGGGCUAAUACCGGAUAGGAGCUCCUGCUGCAUGGUGGGGGUUGGAAAGUUUCGGCGGUUGGGGAUGGACUCGCGGCUUAUCAGCUUGUUGGUGGGGUAGUGGCUUACCAAGGCUUUGACGGGUAGCCGGCCUGAGAGGGUGACCGGCCACAUUGGGACUGAGAUACGGCCCAGACUCCUACGGGAGGCAGCAGUGGGGAAUAUUGCACAAUGGGCGGAAGCCUGAUGCAGCAACGCCGCGUGCGGGAUGACGGCCUUCGGGUUGUAAACCGCUUUCGCCUGUGACGAAGCGUGAGGGACGGUAAUGGGUAAAGAAGCACCGGCUGACUACGU